AUACGUAGGUGGCAAGCGUUGUCCGGAAUUAUUGGGCGUAAAGCGCGCGCAGGUGGUUCCUUAAGUCUGAUGUGAAAGCCCACGGCUCAACCGUGGAGGGUCAUUGGAAACUGGGGAACUUGAGUGCAGAAGAGGAAAGUGGAAUUCCGAGUGUAGAGGUGAAAUUCGUAGAUAUUCGGAGGAACACCAGUGGCGAAGGCGACUUUCUGGUCUGUAACUGACACUGAGGCGCGAAAGCGUGGGGAGC
Molecule: ribosomal RNA, 247 nt
Filed under: uncultured bacterium
Lineage: Bacteria
Description: partial 16S ribosomal RNA
Rfam family: Bacterial small subunit ribosomal RNA
Source: RNAcentral